This 972-nucleotide ribosomal RNA is filed under the name uncultured bacterium. RNAcentral's name for it is "bacterial SSU rRNA". It matches the Rfam family "Bacterial small subunit ribosomal RNA", at positions 56 to 1019 of the family's 1533-position model. The record is from RNAcentral.
UGCAAGUCGAACGGUAACAUUGGUGCUUGCACCAGAUGACGAGUGGCGCACGGGUGCGUAACGCGUAUGCAAUCUACCUUUUACUAGAGUAUAGCCCAGAGAAAUUUGGAUUAAUCCUCUAUAAUAUCUUUUAAUUUCAUGAUUUUAAGAUUAAAGUUUUAACGGUAAAAGAUGAGCAUGCGUCCUAUUAGUUUGUAGGUGAGGUAACGGCUCACCUAGACUACGAUAGGUAGGGGCCCUGAGAGGGGGAUCCCCCACACUGGUACUGAGACACGGACCAGACUCCUACGGGAGGCAGCAGUAAGGAAUAUUGGACAAUGGACGAAAGUCUGAUCCAGCCAUGCCGCGUGCAGGAUGAAAGCCCUACGGGUUGUAAACUGCUUUUAUACAGGAAGAAACACUCCGACGUGUCGGAGCUUGACGGUACUGUAAGAAUAAGGAUCGGCUAACUCCGUGCCAGCAGCCGCGGUAAUACGGAGGAUCCAAGCGUUAUCCGGAAUCAUUGGGUUUAAAGGGUCCGCAGGCUGUUUUUUAAGUCAGAGGUGAAAUCCUACAGCUCAACUGUAGAACUGCCUUUGAUACUGAAAAACUUGAGUUAUUGUGAAGUGGUUAGAAUGUGUGGUGUAGCGGUGAAAUGCAUAGAUAUCACACAGAAUACCGAUUGCGAAGGCAGAUCACUAACAAUAUACUGACGCUCAUGGACGAAAGCGUGGGGAGCGAACAGGAUUAGAUACCCUGGUAGUCCACGCCGUAAACGAUGGAUACUAGCUGUUCGUCUAACAUUGGUUAGAUGAGUGGCUAAGCGAAAGUGAUAAGUAUCCCACCUGGGGAGUACGGUCGCAAGACUGAAACUCAAAGGAAUUGACGGGGGCCCGCACAAGCGGUGGAGCAUGUGGUUUAAUUCGAUGAUACGCGAGGAACCUUACCAGGGCUUAAAUGUAGUGGGACAGGUCUAGAGAUAGACCCUUCUUC